This 378-nucleotide unclassified non-coding RNA is filed under the name Hevea brasiliensis (rubber tree). The record is from RNAcentral. Lineage: Eukaryota; Viridiplantae; Streptophyta; Magnoliopsida; Malpighiales; Euphorbiaceae.
AUUUAACUUUUGUACUAAAUUGAGGCGCCAAUUUGGCCUUUGGCCAAUUCCUUGUAUACUGAAAAGUUGUUGUGAUAUUAUUAAUUUGUCACUCUAUAUAUUUGCACAGUUGUUCUUGAAUUUCUUGCAGAGUUUGAGCGGGUUGUUAAACAGCUCUCUUUUUAGAAGAUAUUCUUAUCAUCAGUUCAUAUCUCAAUUGAUCUUAGUCAUAAAAUUUACUAGCAUUUUAUUGAAUGUUCUCUGGCAACUCCUAUCUGAAGUAGCUAUAUCUGUGCAGAUUUGAAAGUAUCUCAUUAUGCUAUAAUCAUGAUAAAGCUGAGGCAUAAUAAAAUGUCAGCACAUAUCAAAUCAAGGAGAACUUUUGAAGCAGGGUUUACA